This 307-nucleotide ribosomal RNA is filed under the name uncultured Actinomycetes bacterium. RNAcentral's name for it is "bacterial SSU rRNA". It matches the Rfam family "Bacterial small subunit ribosomal RNA", at positions 1091 to 1397 of the family's 1533-position model. The record is from RNAcentral. Lineage: Bacteria; Bacillati; Actinomycetota; Actinomycetes.
CACGAGCGCACCCUCGUUCUAUGUUGCCAGCACGUGAUGGUGGGGACUCAUAGGAGACUGCCGGGGUCAACUCGGAGGAAGGUGGGGAUGACGUCAAAUCAUCAUGCCCCUUACGUCUUGGGCUUCACGCAUGCUACAAUGGCCAGUACAAAGGGCUGCGAUACCGUAAGGUGGAGCGAAUCCCAAAAAGCUGGUCUCAGUUCGGAUUGGGGUCUGCAACUCGACCCCAUGAAGUCGGAGUCGCUAGUAAUCGCAGAUCAGCAACGCUGCGGUGAAUACGUUCCCGGGCCUUGCACACACCGCCCGU